RNAcentral lists this unclassified non-coding RNA (536 nucleotides) under Hevea brasiliensis (rubber tree). The record is from RNAcentral. Lineage: Eukaryota; Viridiplantae; Streptophyta; Magnoliopsida; Malpighiales; Euphorbiaceae.
GAGAGAGAAAACAAGAAUAAUAUUACAAUACACAUCUCUAUGAUUAAAAUAUGGCUAAAAAUUAAAACACAAGGAGCUAAACAUGUCCCAAGUCAUUUGCCACACUCUAAUAGUCUACUUCCAAUUUGACUGUAGAAUAACUUUUAAAUGGUAAGUCCUUGUCUAGUUGCUUUGUUGAUUACAUAUCAGGGAAACACAGCAACUAAUGAUUUAAAAAAUGUUAGAGAAGGCAGAGCUCAAAAUCCAACUCAGUAGGGAAGUGAAUGGGGGGAGAGUAGGGAUUAAAAGGAGCAAACUACAUUCAGAUACAAGCAUAGAUUUCAGUUACUGUCUACAGGAAAAAGUCUUGUUUGGAAGUACUAACUGUUACAAUGAAACAGAAUUUUCUGGCAAAUUUGCUAAUUACCUUUUCACAUUUUAGUGAAUCAAUGACAAAAUCCAAAAGUUUCAGGAUCCUCUGAUGAAGAAAUAUUCUUGCCACUAGCAGUUACAUAGUUUCUCCAGUUUGUAAGCCAUGAAGAGGGCACCAAGUAGUA